UCGCACACGGUCUCAUCAGUGCUAGCGCUAGUGCUACUGCACUGUGUAGUGCAGUACUAUACUGCAACAGUGCAGUAGUAUGUUUUAUUUUUUGUUGGAUCAGCGAACUGCACAACAGUGACAUGAAAAAGGCGUAGGGCUUCACAUAAAACCUGCAUGAAAUCUCACUUUAUCAAUCAUGGAGACCAGUACUAUCAACGAAGAUAAGAUACCAGAAGGAAUGACAAUAAAACUACGUUCUGUAUCCAAAGUAAAGGAACCGUCACCAAACUAUCAAGAAGAAAAGGACUGCUGCCUAGAAUAUUUUGACAAAUGGAUUGAAAAUGAACAACUUGAAUUUGUGCAGGCUCUGAUCCUGCGUAUGUGUCAUUAUCAACAUGGUCAAAUCAACGCUUUUCUCAAACCUAUGUUACAGAGAGACUUCAUCACAGCACUGCCAAAGAAAGGCCUAGAUCAUGUUGCUGAGAAGAUCUUAUCUUAUCUGGACUCAAAGUCAUUGUGUGCUGCCGAGGGAGUGUGUAAGGAAUGGAAACGUGUAAUAUCAGACGGCAUGCUAUGGAAGAAACUCAUCGAACACAAAGUUAGAACGGAUAACCUAUGGAGAGGCUUGGCAGAGAGGAGAGGAUGGGUUCAAUAUUUAUUCAAACCCAAGCCAGGAGACCAGCAACAAGGGGAUUCAUUCUUCAGGAAACUAUAUCCAAGAAUCAUUCAAAAUAUAGAGAAUAUUGAACACAACUGGAGGUGUGGUCACCAUGAACUCUAUCGAAUCCAGUGCCAUAGUGAAACGUCAAAAGGCGUCUACUGCCUCCAGUACGACGACACAAAAAUCGUUAGUGGUCUUAGGGAUAACACAAUCAAGAUCUGGGACCGGCAAUCUCUGCAAUGUAGAACAGUAUUAAUGGGUCACACAGGCUCUGUGCUGUGUCUACAGUAUGACGAUAAAGUCAUUAUCACAGGCUCUAGCGAUUCCACCGUCAGAGUAUGGGAUGUGAAUACAAGCGACAUGCUGAAUACCUUAGUCCACCAUAGUGAAGCUGUUCUUCAUUUACGAUUCAAUAAUGGCCUCAUGGUCACAUGCUCAAAGGACCGAUCCAUAGCAGUGUGGGACAUGCAAUCGGCAGGUGAUAUCAGCCUAAGAAGAGUUCUUGUUGGACAUCGUGCUGCUGUCAAUGUAGUAGACUUUGAUGAUAAAUACAUUGUAUCUGCUUCUGGAGAUAGGACAAUCAAGGUUUGGAACACGUCAACCUGUGAGUUUGUGAGGACUCUGAAUGGGCAUCGGAGAGGCAUUGCAUGUUUGCAGUACAGAGAUAGAUUAGUUGUUAGUGGUUCAUCAGACAAUACAAUCAGAUUAUGGGACAUAGAGUGUGGUGCAUGUUUGAGAGUUCUUGAAGGCCAUGAGGAGCUGGUACGCUGCAUCAGGUUUGAUAACAAGAGGAUUGUCAGUGGAGCUUAUGAUGGCAAAAUCAAAGUAUGGGACUUACAAGCCGCAUUGGAUCCACGUUCACCAGCAGGCACUCUCUGCCUUAGGACACUAGUUGAGCAUACAGGAAGGGUGUUCAGACUUCAAUUUGAUGAAUUCCAAAUCGUCAGCAGUUCGCACGACGACACCAUCCUCAUAUGGGACUUUCUUAACGUGACUCCCCCUGAACAACCCUCCAAGUCGCCGACACGCACCUACACCUAUGUCUCCAACAGCUGCCGGUAAGGCAGUCGGGAUUGUUUCGUGGACCGAAAGCGGUUUGAAAGUGAUUGAAACUUUAUGGGUUGACUUUGUAGAACGGGAGUCUCUGCUACAGAGUGGGAGUGUCCACUGUCGAGCGGGAGUCUUCACUGUAGAGUUGGAGUCUUCACUGUCGAGUGGGAGGCUUUGCUGUAGACUUAGAGUCUUCGCUGUUGACCAAGAAUCUACACUCUUGAGCGGGAGUCUACACUCUUAGGAGCGAGAGUCUUCUCUCUAGAGCAAAGUCUACACUCUUGAGCGGGAGUCUACACUAUAGAGCGGGAGUCUUUACUCUAGAGCGGGAGUCUACACCCUAGAGCGAGAGUUUACACUCUAGAGUGGGAGUCUACACUCUAGAACAGGAAUCUACACCCUAGAGCGAGAGUUUACACUCAAGAGUGAGAGUUUACACUCCAGAGCAGGAGUCUACACUCUGUAGCGGGAGUCUACACUCUAUAGAGUGGGAGUCUACACUCUGGAGUUGGAGUCUACACUGGGGUCUGCGUUGUUGACAAAGUAUUUUUGUGAAAUCACUGCAACCUCAAUACCGAUCGAAGGAUAUUGAAUAUUUACAUUGUUUCCAAGGAUACAGCUACUCAGAGGAAGAAACUUUAUGCCCAGACAUAGAGUCAGAGAGAGAGAGAGAGUCUACACAUAGAUUUUUUUUCCAGAUUUAUAGAUAGAUAGCCUAGUCUUGAGAUAAAUUGUUAUGUACAGUCUGAACAUUCAUCUCAAAUUUGGACUUGUAUGUAAGUCAAUGAUGCAAGCAAUCCAUAACAGGUUGCUUGCUUCAGUUACUUUUUUAUUGUGAUUCUGUAUGGGAAAUGUCUUUUGUAAGAAAUAUAGACUGUCAUCGUUGUAUAAUCAGAUUUUAAAUUUUAAGUGUGGUCAAAUGGAAGGUAUAGACUGGCAUUGAAACAGACAGAGUACUUUCAUACUUCUGUUCCAGAUAUAUAUUUUAUAUGAAUUUUGAAAAUAUUUGGUGAUAAAUCUCUUUCCAUGCAGACUACUAAAUGAACAGUUAAUGGUUUCGACAAAGCUGUAAUGCACACAGUAUACACACAUUGUCCACUCCCAGGGGAAUAUUCCAGCAACGAGAGGUCAAGUCUCUCAACUGCUACUAAAAGCCAACAACAUCGGCAUUCACGUCUUACCCGGAAUCCAUUUAACACAUGGGUGAAGAGAGGCAACUGUAGAUGGAGACACCGAAUGCCAUGGUGGACUUGAACCUGCGACCCUCCAAUAGAAAGGCAGGGGUCAGGACCAUGAUUCUUAAAUGCGUGAUGUGGUGGAUGGACUCGAGAGUGUCGAUGAACAUAACAUCUACAUGAAGCUGGCAGAAAGGCAUCAGGAUCAAUGCCUUUGUCAUUUCAUAGUCUGUUGGUCAGGCAGUAGAGCAUAAACUCUUGUACGCACUUUACAUUUCAUGUAGCGUAUGCUUGAGCUAAAAGCCCUUAUGCCAGACUCACAGAUAUGGAAAAUUGCCGCGCAUGUGCAAUCUUCCACCUUUCUACCAGCCAAGCGAUGAUUUAUAGCUGUGUUCAGAUGUUAUACGAAGGGCCUCAACAGCACAAUCAAUGUUUCAGUAUCGACCACUGGUUCUAAUAUUCAAAUUAUUUUCUAUUCAAACAAAAGUGAUUGAUAUUUAUUGAUAUUGAUUUUGUAGCGAAUGUUGUGAUUCAAAUAAGAUUUAUAAGUAGAAUUUCCUUUAUCGUUCCCUAUCUUUUGCAGUUUAGACUAGAUCAUGUGAAGUGGUUCAUGAUGACGAUUGUAUCUUGCAAAAAAAAGGGACCAGAAUUCGUAUUAUUUGAACAUAUCAUUAUGGUAUGGAAUGAAGUUUGCCUUAUAUACACACACAUAUGUAUGUUUACAUUUAUAUUUGUCAAGUCUGUGUCAUAACGUGUCAUAUAAUCCUGUUCGUUGUCAUUAAAUCUUAAAGAUGAAUACUAUACUUUGUGAUGUGUUCCUUGUAAAUGCACUGCUCUUGAAUAGACAACUCUUUUAUGUCACUUCUCGGAGCCCGUUGAUAUUUACUUCCUUUACCUUAAACCGGACCUGACCUGUCCUGUAUUCAUGCAUGUGGUGGCAAAUUUCAUUAUUCUAUUAUUCCAAAUUCUUUGUGAGCAAAUUGUGGGUGGAGGGUUUUAGUUGCCAAAUCUUCAAAGACACAAUGUGUUGAUUUUAAGUUCAGUGUUCACCUUUUGGUCUUGGUGUUAGGUAAAUUUUACACCAGCAUAGCUCCAAACUGAGAAAGAAGCUGGUCUGAGAGUGUUUUUCACUAAGUGUUGAGAUAUUAACACCUGGUGAUUUCCGUUUCAGUCUUCACCUUUUGAUGUUGGUGUUGAGUUUAUUUUUAUGUCAGCACAGCACCAAACUGAAAGAGAAGCUGAUCCUAGGACAAGUAUCACAUGAAUCACUAUGUGUUCAUAUGUUCAUAAUCUACAUGUACUUUGGAUCAUUUUAUAAACUCAGAUGAGGUUUUGGUGCUACAUGUAGGUGAUAGGAAAGGCAGUCUAGUGUGCUGGUAACACCAACACCAACCACCAGCAUGAACAUCAAACUUUAAAUCCCCUGCUGUGCGAUGAAGCUGUGCCUGAAAUCCUGCUUGACUUUACCGAUGAUACGGAUAUAAGACAAUCUUUUCAUAUGAAAUCACAUAUCAGUCAUUUUUUUUUGUUAUAACAGAAUGUUUCUAAUGUAAAGUAUACUUUUUGUGACAAUUUCCAUGAAGAUUAUUGGAAAUUCAGUCUCGGUGUCAAUCUCUAUACCUACAAUGUAUUGGCACUUCAAAUCGGAUGCAUUUUUGAUGUCGGGAAGGGGUAACUUUGCCAUUUGAGCCGAUACACCUAUGAACUAAAAAUGUCAAAAGUUAUCAGCGGAGUUACUAAAAAUCAUUAAAAAAUCAUAUAUUUUUUCUAGGACCCAUAUUAAUACGCUUUCUCUGUAAUAACUAAUAUUUUGAUUACUGCCCGCUGAAAACCAUGAAAUCCUAAAAAAGAAAGAAAGGAGUACAUGGCAAAUGGGAAAGUUGUCCCUACCACUGUCAAAAUUCACCCAUGAAGUUGCCAAUUUGAGAUUUACAUAGUCUUACUGAUCUCCUCUUUCAAAAUACCUAAUUGUCUGAUUUCUUUCAAAGAUUGACCAGUAUCUUUUCAUUAUUUUUUCUGCUUGUACACCUACGAAUUUAUUACCAAGGUUGAUUUUUGAGAGAUUUGUGUGAACCUUGCAACUCUCUAAUAGCUGCCCAUUCAUUUACCUGUACCUUCUUCUAAAAACCAUUUGUAUCUAAUUGUGGACCCAGUCUAAAUAGUUGUGCCGAUCAUAUGAGUAUGUAUAUUUGUGAAGUGAACGUUUAUAUCAUCAUCACAUUGUCAUUGGACCUCCAAACUGGUGAAUAUUGUGUAUUUGUAAUCACAAUUUUUAAUUGUAUAUGUGAGAUAUACCGUGUCGUCCCAUAUAAAAUCUUGUGAAUAAGAAUGUGUUUUGUUGGAUGUGGUCAUUUAACCGUGAAUGCAUCAGGAAUAUAUGUGUUUUCAAAUUGUCAAUCUUUUCAAAUCAUAGCUAAGGUUUAUUGUGUUAUAAAAUUUGGAGCUCAAGAGGUUUAAUUACAAUUUUAGAGAUGUUUUCUUUAAAGCUUUCCUAUGAAAUUUAAGGAGUGCAAGAUUUAUAUGUGUGGUUGGUCGUGGUUUCAUUAUCUUAAACACUGUGGCCCGUAUUCUGAUUGCAGGUAUAGCUUAAACUCAGGUUUAAAGUUGUGGUUUAAGUAUGGAAAGCCAAUUGUUACAUAAAUCACUAAUAGAAGAAAUAUCAUUCUUCAGCUCAUUUGGCUCUCGAAUGAUUCAUAACUGUCUAAGAAGUAUAAAUAGGUGAUUGUCUUCACCAUCUAUUAUUGAGGAAAGAGCACAUAAGAAACAUACAACUUCAUAAAAACUUUGACACGUUUGGCUUCCCAUACUUAAACCACAUCUUUAAACCUGAGUUUAAGUUAAACCCGACUUCAGAAUACGGGCCUGUAUGGUUUGAAUGAGAGCCUGAAAUAUUUCUUUUUCUCCCUGCUCUACUAGUCGUGGACGAGAUUUCGUUGUCUGUGGGUUAAUAUUUCUCAUCCAGCUCUGUCAAACAUUGUAUCCAUUCUCUUUGUAAUGUCAGCUCAAAUGUGCUUGAUUAAUUCCAGUGAAUUAGUGCUUGUCAAAGGCACCUAGUUUGUUCUAGACCUGUUGGCGCUCCAUUGUGUUAAGUUCUAUCAAUGAUUUCGUGGGAGUGUUCUACAAAGAUUUAGGUAUGUCUGAGAGUCGCACAUAAAUGCCGAAGGGUGUAUGAUAUGCAACGUGCAAUCUUAUUGAUUAAUACGCAAUAGUAUGCAUCCUCUUUGCAUGAUCUGACCAAUAUGGUCGUGCCUUUUAUAUCGCAUGCAACUAGGCAUUUAAGUGUGACUGUAAAGUCAUACUUUAACCUUUGUGAAACACCCCCCUUGAGAAGUUAUUACUGCCAUCAAAACAUUGAUAUUCAUUGCCAGCAAUAAUUACUUCCCAAAUAUCUGUUAUUUUGAGCAAGCGAUACAGAAUUUUUCCUCUGUUCACCCCCCAUUAGUUAUUGAUUUCCUAUGGCAAUUCAAGAUCUACAAAAUAUAAAAUUUCUAAUCGAGGUUUAGUUAUUUUUAUACAUCCUAAAGAUAUUUACCAAAUGGUUAUUACUUACCGGUAUGGAUACUUCAUAAGAUAUCAAUCUGUAAUUAUUGUUGGUUUUGGGGGGUGGUUUUGCCUGUAUAUAUUAAACUGCCAGUAGUUUAUGCUUUUUAAGGACUGGCCUAAAGUAAAAUGUGAUAGAUAUAAUUCAUUCUUGAUGAAGUUUAUCUAUAAAGGUGGAUUGAAUUUAAUUUUAACUUGAUAGAGAAAUUAGUUGUAUUAUAAUUCAAAUAACCAAUUAAGAAAAUAAAUAACGGAAAGAUGAGUAAAGAUUAUGGGAACAACCAUCCUAAACUUUGAAAAUGUGCAAUUUCUGUAAGUCAUUUAUUUUGUAAUUUAAGAUGUAGUAGUACCAGACCAUAUUAAAGGGAGGGGUGCAUUUCAUGAAACAAAUAGGAUUUUUCACCAACUAUUUUGCUCUGAGCCAAUCAGAAGCAAGGAUUUCAGAAGCUUAUAACAAGUAGUCAGUGAAAAUAAUUGAUAAUUUCUUUCAUGAAAUGCUCCAGUGCUGUGAUAUGUUAAUGUUCAAUCUUACUUUGUAGGCUUCACAUAGUAAAGUAUGCCUGUGAAUGUGCUCAUUUGAAGAAUUGCCCCACUCAACAUUUUUAAUGGAAAUUUAUGUUUAUAUUAUUUUUCACACCUCAUAUUUUUCUUAGAGGUUGAAGCCAUUUCUUCGGUCCCUGUGAGUUUGGCUCGUGUCAGAUUUGAUUAUGUUAUCUGUGCUUGCUUUUAUGUCCACAAAAAAUUUCAUCUUAUACACAUUACCAGGCCUUUAGUACACUUGUCCCAAGAUAUUCAUAUCCUACCGUUUCUGUCAUAUACAGUAUCCCAAAUGUGAGGGUCAAUGGCAUGUAUGCUAUAUGUAAAUUUCUAUUCGACUUUGCUUUAGUUGUUCAAAUACAAAUGUUUAUGUAUGUAUGUAUGUAUGUAACAUACUCAUGGGGUAUCUUGGCCUAGAGGGUGAAAUAACAUGCAAUCCCUUGACCUGGGGCCUGUUGCAUCAAAGACAAACAAGAGUUUUUGUUUUAUUUGCGACUUGUUUUAUGGCAAAAGUUUUAUGCAACAGGCCCCUGUGGUCCAUUUCCUAAAGCUUGUUACGAUGACAAAUUUCCAAUAACAGUUUUAAGCUACUGAAAUCCUUUGAUUUGAUUGGCUGAUAGAAAACUUGUUAUAGAAAUUGUGUACUUGUUAUUUUAACAAGUCUUCAUGAGACAGAACCCUGACAUUGAUAUUGUUUAGUUUCAGCAUGCCUCUUUCUGGCUCAUCCUUUGUGCCAACAAUCAACACAGUACCGGUACUUGUGGAAACGUGUUGUACGUUCUGGAAAUCUAAUAAAUUCCAACACUGUAAUCUGCAUGUUAUAAUGAGAGAGUAGCACCAAAAGCUACUACCAACCAUACAUGGUUUUAGAUGCCUUAAUUUCACCCGCAAGGCCAAGUUUCCCAGGAAGGACCACAUUUCAAGAUUUUUAUCAUUUUUGUCAAUGACUAGGAUACAUCCACCUGAUCACGCUAGUUAUUGUCUAAGAACUUGCUCUCCAACAACACAUAAACUCCCAAAUGUUGAUGAGUGCAUGUGAGUGUGCGAUGUGUGUAUAUAUCAAUAUAAAUAUAUAUACAUGAUUAUAAAUGUUGACGAUAUUGAUAUCUUCGUUUCAAGAAAUAUAUGAACAAAUCUGUGGUCACCUGUGACCUUCAAAUCCACAUCAUUUCAGUAGGUUUGUACAUACAGUGGAACCAUUUGAUAUAACAUAUGAUUUGUAUCUGAGAGUCAAAACAUUUGAAUACUUGUGUGUGAAAAACAAAUAUGGCUUCAACAUUUUAUUCGAAGCUUUGUUGAAAAGAAAUAUUAGCUUCUAGAGGGACGUCCAAUUGGGAUGCAUAGACUUCACUCGCUAGUUCAAAUACCCCACUCAGAAUUCUUUGACCCAUGUGGGUAUGGUUAACAACUAAUUUCUUCAUGAUUUGAAUUUCCAUUUUGCGUAAUUCAGUAAUGAAAGGUUGACUUUUUGAUGUGGGAGUUUUCAUAUUAGUUAAUGCAGCGGUAAAUUAGACCAGGAAAUACCACAAAAAUACAGACUUGGUAAUUACAGUAUAUGAAUGAUUUAUAUUUUAACUGUAUGCGACUGAAGAGUUGAUUUGCAUUGCUGGCUAAUAGACUUUAUUCUUGAUCCUUGAUUUGAAAACAAAUAUAUUGUAUGAGUAGAAUUUAAUAAAGCAUGGACAAGUUAGACCAAAUGCUUCAAUCUCUGUAUAUGGUCAAUAGCUCAAAUGAGAUUUUCUUUUUUUCUGACUCUGCAAGCCCUUGGUACGGUGAAAGGCUGACAAAUAUUGGUUUUGAUAAAUGAUUCCCCUUAACAAAUGGUUAUUUCUCUAUAGGAAAUCUUUUUGUAUCAUUGGGGAUGAUUAUAAGCCAUAUUUUGCCAGCCCGGGUGAUGUGUACAAAGUAAGUCUAUUGGAGAAAUGUUUAUUCAUUAAUCUUGGCAGGGCUGGUCUUCAACAUAUUCCUCUUAAUUUUCAUCUUUAUGAUUUUAUCCUGCAGAUAUUUUUAAAAAAAAGUUGACAUAUUAAAAAGUUUCAUUAUGAAUAAGUUAGAUGAUUAACCUGUUACAUAAGAUCACUUUUGGUAGUAACUAAGAAUUAUGAAAACUUUAUUUUGAAUGGCUGUUGGGUAAUGUUACCGAGGUAGAUACUACUGAUGGUAGUUACGAUUAAUAGUAAAUUUUUAUGUAACCGGGUCUUAAGUGAUGGGAAAAAAGAAGUCUAUUGAUUCUGGACCCCUGUUUGGCAAUCAAUUGUACAAAUGAGUUUUAUGGUUGAUUGCGCAUAUCUAUCAAUGCAAUCAUUUGAUCUUACGAUCAAUUCACCAUGUUUUGUGUCAAGGGCCCCCGGGUUGCCGUCAAUGUACGGCAACAGCAUCAUGUAUGCGAUUGUGACGACGAUAUCCCUGUGAUUAUCCCAAUGUACAAACCCAACAGUGCAGAGUAUAGACUAUGGAUAGAUAGAUAAUUGUGUAUGAUAGAAACCGUUAUAUAUGGGUGGUUGGAUGGAAAAAAUUCCCUUGUCCUUUUUAUCACAAUGUUUUCAAACAAUUUCUUUGCAUAGCUAUUGUAUUUGCUUUUUGUAUGAAAGGAAAGCUUGAAAGAUAAUAAAAUUUCAUUGCAUUUGAAAGAUC
RNAcentral lists this unclassified non-coding RNA (9579 nucleotides) under Lytechinus variegatus (green sea urchin). RNAcentral describes it as "f-box/WD repeat-containing protein 11-like, transcript variant X1". Lineage: Eukaryota; Metazoa; Echinodermata; Echinoidea; Temnopleuroida; Toxopneustidae. The record is from RNAcentral.